ACAACCACUGCGAAACGUCAGGGAUUUUAAAACCACUCUACGGUACGUCACCUUAGACUCUUUUUAUCUUUUAUCUUUUAUCUCUUGUUUUAAAGCAGCUUUUUGCUUUUUAACUAUUGAGAUUGUUUGUUUUUAAUUAUUUAAAAGUUAGAAUUUUUGAUCAUCCUGGGGGGCUUCUGCCCGAGGCCUUGUCUUCCUCCAAAAAACAGUUUUAUAUCGCAAAAAGGACCUCCUCUCCUCCUUUUUUGCUUUUGAGAUGGAGAUUACUUGUUCCUCUCAAAAACUUUUUUGAGAUCUCCUCCCCCUUUUUUAAGAAACUGUGACAGGGGACUAUAUCUGGACCCAUGCUUUUUGGUGCAUUUUUUCUGUGGGUUAAACACUUUUAAUAACAUUCUGGAGACCUCCCGGACAAACUCUAUCUCGCACUGGGACGAGCACACCGGAGCUCCUCUUUUUUGUAUCAGUGUCCCCACCAGGCACCAGGGCACCAGAGGCCAAAGACCAUCUCGCUGGAGCACAGCUGGUAAAACCUCACCGAACAAUCCAGCACCCCAGCUCGGCAAAGGACGGCCAGGAGCAGAUCAACCAGACCACUGUUGGACCUCCAUGAGACCUUCACCGACGCUGCCAGGAGCAGGUUGGGGAGUUCCCUCUCCACCAUCCCGGAAUUAUCCGACGAGGACGAAUUUCCACCACUGCCAGCCUCCAGUGUUGCCGGUGCCCGGACUGGCACGAUUGGACAAGAAGGAGCCCCGACCGCAUUAGCAGGAGGGUCAUCACACAUGAUGAGCGGCGUAAUAAAGGCUAAUGUAGCCCACAACACCGUAUCUGAGACCUCCUCUCAACAACUGCGCCCGGGGACUCCGCCUCCCGGU
Long non-coding RNA from Platichthys flesus (European flounder), 875 nucleotides. RefSeq lists it as uncharacterized. NCBI's taxonomy places the organism in Eukaryota, Metazoa, Chordata, Actinopteri, Pleuronectiformes, Pleuronectidae. The record is from RefSeq and is a predicted model, not a curated record. The transcript is spliced from 3 exons.